GAUGAAGAACGUAGCGAAAUGCGAUAAGUAAUGUGAAUUGCAGAAUUCAGUGAAUCAUCGAAUCUUUGAACGCACAUUGCGCCCGCCAGUAUUCUGGCGGGCAUGCCUGUUCGAGCGUCAUUUCAACCCUCAGGCCCCGCCUGGCGUUGGGGAUCGGCGCGGCCCUCUCCGGGCUGCCGGCCCUGAAAACUAGUGGCGGUCUCGCUGUAGUCCUCCUCUGCGCAGUAGCAACGCUCGCACUGGAACUCGGCGCGGCCACGCCGUAAAACACCCCACUUCUGAAAGUUGACCUCGGAUCAGGUAGGAAUACCCGCUGAACUUAAGCAUAUCAAUAAGCGGAGGA
RNAcentral lists this unclassified non-coding RNA (343 nucleotides) under soil metagenome. RNAcentral's name for it is "partial contains 5.8S ribosomal RNA, internal transcribed spacer 2, and large subunit ribosomal RNA". The stretch from base 1 to 120 matches the Rfam family "5.8S ribosomal RNA", at positions 35 to 154 of the family's 154-position model. The record is from RNAcentral.